CAUGUGUAGCGGUGAAAUGCGUAGAUAUAUGGAGGAACACCGGUGGCGAAAGCGGCUCUCUGGUCUGUCACUGACGCUGAGGCUCGAAAGCGUGGGUAGCGAACAGGAUUAGAUACCCUGGUAGUCCACGCCGUAAACGAUGAGUGCUAGGUGUUAGGCCCUUUCCGGGGCUCAGUGCCGGAGCUAACGCAAUAAGCACUCCGCCUGGGGAGUACGACCGCAAGGUUGAAACUCAAAGGAAUUGACGGGGGCCCGCACAAGCGGUGGAGCAUGUGGUUUAAUUCGAAGCAACGCGAAGAACCUUACCAGGUCUUGACAUCCCGAUGCUAUUCUUAGAGAUAGGAAGUUACUUCGGUACAUCGGAGACAGGUGGUGCAUGGUUGUCGUCAGCUCGUGUCGUGAGAUGUUGGGUUAAGUCCCGCAACGAGCGCAACCCUUAUUGUUAGUUGCCAUCAUUAAGUUGGGCACUCUAGCGAGACUGCCGGUAAUAAACCGGAGGAAGGUGGGGAUGACGUCAAAUCAUCAUGCCCCUUAUGACCUGGGCUACACACGUGCUACAAUGGUCGGUACAACGAGUUGCGAGCCGGUGACGGCAAGCUAAUCUCUGAAAGCCGAUCUCAGUUCGGAUUGGAGGCUGCAACUCGCCUCCAUGAAGUCGGAAUCGCUAGUAAUCGCGGAUCAGCACGCCGCGGUGAAUACGUUCCCGGGCCUUGUACACACCGCCCGUCACACCACGAGAGUUUGUAACACCCGAAGUCGGUGAGGUANCCUUUUAGGG
RNAcentral lists this ribosomal RNA (778 nucleotides) under uncultured bacterium. RNAcentral's name for it is "bacterial SSU rRNA". It matches the Rfam family "Bacterial small subunit ribosomal RNA", at positions 670 to 1447 of the family's 1533-position model. The record is from RNAcentral.